Anopheles stephensi (Asian malaria mosquito) is the source of this 697-nucleotide long non-coding RNA. RefSeq lists it as uncharacterized. The transcript has 3 exons. NCBI's taxonomy places the organism in Eukaryota, Metazoa, Arthropoda, Insecta, Diptera, Culicidae. The record is from RefSeq and is a predicted model, not a curated record.
GGAGCUUUUGUAAGGGAAACAACUACUGGCUACGUGUCCGUUAGCCCCACCGGACUACAGAAAUACUUCAUAUUCCAAACAAAUGGUGUACCCGGUAAUAUCAUUUUUUCUUCUAGCCGUUCAUUAAUAACGGCUCAUAGGGCUCUUUCAUGUUUAUGGCUGCAAGUGGUGGUACAGCUACGGCAAGUUGCUGAUGCGUAGAAAUGGGAUGAAACAGUUCUGCUGCUGUUUGUUUGGUGAUUGUAUGAUGGAAAGUUCGGCAUCAAGUUGGCAUGUAGUUCGGUGUGUAGUGUAUCCAUGGCAAUCGGUGAGAAGCUGCAAAAUGGUGGAAUGGAUCUGUCGAGAAAGUAGGAGUGUGUCAGACGAAUGUGUGACCGAUUCGAAGACGGGACAGAACUCGUUGGAUGUGGCAGGAUCCGAGAUCGUCCCAAAGUGCGGUGUUGUGCUGGAAUUUCGUGGAAAGGUUAAGGUUGUGCCAUGGUGUGUUCCAGUGUUUAGUGCUCAAGUCCAGUGAAAGUGUGCUGUUUGGUUCGGAACGGAAUCCUUCGUCGGCGGCUCGUUAGAUGGUCGUCGUUGGAAUGGAUCCCAAAGCUGGCUGAUUUUCGAUUAACGAAGCCGUUUGUGAAGAUGUGGUGAUGAUGCUGGUAUUUGGUCCGGAUCAGGUUGCUGAUGCGUAGGAUGAAACGACGACGUCGAC